UUAAAUUGAAGAGUUUGAUCAUGGCUCAGAUUGAACGCUGGCGGCAGGCCUAACACAUGCAAGUCGAACGGUAACAGAAAGCAGCUUGCUGCUUUGCUGACGAGUGGCGGACGGGUGAGUAAUGUC
RNAcentral lists this ribosomal RNA (126 nucleotides) under Escherichia coli. RNAcentral's name for it is "partial 16S ribosomal RNA". It matches the Rfam family "Bacterial small subunit ribosomal RNA", at positions 1 to 117 of the family's 1533-position model. Lineage: Bacteria; Pseudomonadati; Pseudomonadota; Gammaproteobacteria; Enterobacterales; Enterobacteriaceae. RNAcentral also lists the same sequence under 1 other name. The record is from RNAcentral.